UAGAACUUGUGAUCUCAACUUGAGAAGAGGAUUUUGAGAAGAAAGAGGAGUUAAAGAUAGUGAUUUGAAGCUUUAAGUGAGGUUAGCAUAUCAAACUCCUUAUUUUUCCAUUUACAUGCAUAACUAGUGGUUGAAAUGAGCUUAGAACUUGAUUUAAAUGAAAUAAAAAUGGGGGAAGAACCAAACUGAAUUUUCGGGCAGCUUGAGAGGAGUG
Molecule: unclassified non-coding RNA, 214 nt
Filed under: Hevea brasiliensis (rubber tree)
Lineage: Eukaryota; Viridiplantae; Streptophyta; Magnoliopsida; Malpighiales; Euphorbiaceae
Source: RNAcentral